ACCCGCUGAACUUAAGCAUAUCAAUAAGCGGAGGAAAAGAAACCAACAGGGAUUGCCUCAGUAACGGCGAGUGAAGCGGCAACAGCUCAUAUUUGAAAUCUGGCCUCGCGGCCCGAGUUGUAAUUUGUAGAGGAUGCUUCGAGCAUGUGUGCUGGGCUCAGUUCCUUGGAACAGGACGUCGUAGAGGGUGAGAAUCCCGUAUGCGCCCAGGUGCCUACGCUCAUGUGAAGCUCCAUCUACGAGUCGAGUUGUUUGGGAAUGCAGCUCAAAAUGGGUGGUAAAUUUCAUCUAAAGCUAAAUAUUGGCCAGAGACCGAUAGCGCACAAGUAGAGUGAUCGAAAGAUGAAAAGCACUUUGGAAAGAGAGUUAAACAGUACGUGAAAUUGUUGAAAUGGAAGCGCUUGCAAUCAGACUUGCGCGCGGCCGAUCAUCCGGUGUUCUCACCGGUGCACUCGGUCGUGCUCAGCCCAGCAUCGGUUUCGGUGGUUGGAUAAAGGCCCUAGGAAUGUAGCUUCUCUCGCGGGAGUGUUAUAGCCUAGGGCGCAAUGCAGCCUCACCGGGCCCGAGGGACGCGACUUCGGCUAGGAUGCUGGCGUAAUGGUUGUAAGCGACCCGUCUUGAAACACGG
This 628-nucleotide ribosomal RNA is filed under the name uncultured fungus. RNAcentral describes it as "LSU rRNA". It matches the Rfam family "Eukaryotic large subunit ribosomal RNA", at positions 23 to 664 of the family's 3401-position model. Lineage: Eukaryota; Fungi. The record is from RNAcentral.